Molecule: unclassified non-coding RNA, 231 nt
Filed under: uncultured Basidiomycota
Lineage: Eukaryota; Fungi; Basidiomycota
Description: sequence contains ITS1
Source: RNAcentral
UCGAGUUCUGACGAGGAGUCUUGAUGCUGGCCCAGCAAUUGGGUAUGUGCUCGACUCCCUGCUCAAAUCCAACUCAACCACUGUGCACUACUUCAAGCUUGUUGGUCCUCCAGCCACCUCGGCGCGGAGCAGCUCUCUUAACACGAGAGUCGGGGCUGACAGGUUUGACUAAAAUCCACACACAAACUACUUUUAAAGUCUUGUAGAAUGUUUAAUACUAUUGAAACAGUA